GUUUUCAAAAAUGAAUUUAAACGAGACCAAGCACAGAUCGCGCAUUACUGACGAAAACCUACACGCGGUUUUGCGGAUUUCCUCAGCACAAGAACUAAGACAUCCGGCCAGAAAACAUUGAACACAACACAAUGAGGAUGUGUGAGUUGGUAACAGGCUGAAGAGGAUCAGCUUUGUGUUCAAGGACAGGCAGCAUCACCUCAUUGUUUGGUUCUUACGUGAAAUACAUGUUCGUUGUGUAAUAAAUAACGAAAAAGUUUUGUGAAUGAAGUUGAGAGUUAAUA
Long non-coding RNA from Xiphophorus couchianus (Monterrey platyfish), 284 nucleotides. RefSeq lists it as uncharacterized. The record is from RefSeq and is a predicted model, not a curated record. NCBI's taxonomy places the organism in Eukaryota, Metazoa, Chordata, Actinopteri, Cyprinodontiformes, Poeciliidae. The transcript is spliced from 2 exons.